This 40-nucleotide transfer RNA is filed under the name Mesodinium pulex. Its description in RNAcentral is "partial tRNA". Lineage: Eukaryota; Ciliophora; Litostomatea; Cyclotrichida; Mesodiniidae. The record is from RNAcentral.
GGCUCAAGCGUGGCUCAAAAGUUUUUGUCCUGCCGUACGC